UACGUAGGGUGCGAGCGUUAAUCGGAAUUACUGGGCGUAAAGCGUGCGCAGGCGGUUUUGUAAGCCAGAUGUGAAAUCCCCGGGCUUAACCUGGGAAUGGCAUUUGGGACUGCAAGGCUUGAGUGCGGCAGAGGGGACUGGAAUUCCUGGUGUAGCAGUGAAAUGCGUAGAGAUCAGGAGGAACACCGGUGGCGAAGGCGGAUCUCUGGGCCUUACCUGACGCUGAGGCGCGAAAGCUAGGGGAGCAAACAGG
This 253-nucleotide ribosomal RNA is filed under the name uncultured bacterium. RNAcentral describes it as "partial 16S ribosomal RNA". It matches the Rfam family "Bacterial small subunit ribosomal RNA", at positions 524 to 776 of the family's 1533-position model. The record is from RNAcentral.